RNAcentral lists this ribosomal RNA (550 nucleotides) under uncultured Salinibacter sp. RNAcentral describes it as "bacterial SSU rRNA". It matches the Rfam family "Bacterial small subunit ribosomal RNA", at positions 369 to 914 of the family's 1533-position model. The record is from RNAcentral. Lineage: Bacteria; Pseudomonadati; Rhodothermota; Rhodothermia; Rhodothermales; Salinibacteraceae.
CAAUGGGGUCACCCCUGAUGCAGCCAUGCCGCGUGGAGGAAGACACCCCUAUGGGGCGUAAACUCCUUUUCUGAACGAAGAAAACUCUGUAGCUUCAGAGCGAGACGGUAGUUCAGGAAUAAGCACCGGCUAACUCCGUGCCAGCAGCCGCGGUAAUACGGAGGGUGCAAGCGUUGUCCGGAAUCACUGGGUGUAAAGGGUGUGCAGGCGGGGCAGCAAGUCGGAUGUGAAAGCCCGUGGCUCAACCACGGAAGCGCCUUCGAUACUGCUGCUCUUGAGUCCCGGAGAGGCUGUCGGAAUUCGUGGUGUAGCGGUGAAAUGCGUAGAUAUCACGAGGAACACCAGAGGCGAAAGCGGGCAGCUGGACGGGUACUGACGCUCAGGCACGAAAGCGUGGGGAGCAAACAGGAUUAGAUACCCUGGUAGUCCCACGCCGUAAACCGAUGAAUGCUCGCCGUUGCCUCGAUAAGGGGGCAGUGGCUAAGUUAACGCGUUAAGCAUUCCACCUGGGGAAGUACGAUCCGCAAGGUUGAAACUCAAUUGAAUUGAC